GUAGCUCAGAGGAUUAGAGCACGUGGCUACGAACCAUGGUGUCAUGGGUUUGAAUCCCUCC
RNAcentral lists this transfer RNA (61 nucleotides) under Triticum aestivum (bread wheat). Lineage: Eukaryota; Viridiplantae; Streptophyta; Magnoliopsida; Poales; Poaceae. The record is from Rfam by way of RNAcentral. RNAcentral also lists the same sequence under 1 other name.